UACGAAGGGGGCUAGCGUUGCUCGGAAUUACUGGGCGUAAAGCGCACGUAGGCGGUCUUUUAAGUCGGGGGUGAAAUCCUGGAGCUCAACUCCAGAACUGCCUUUGAUACUGAGGAUCUUGAGUUCGGGAGAGGUGAGUGGAACUGCGAGUGUAGAGGUGAAAUUCGUAGAUAUUCGCAAGAACACCAGUGGCGAAGGCGGCUCACUGGCCCGAUACUGACGCUGAGGCACGAAAGCGUGGGGAGCAAACAGG
Molecule: ribosomal RNA, 253 nt
Filed under: uncultured bacterium
Lineage: Bacteria
Description: partial 16S ribosomal RNA
Rfam family: Bacterial small subunit ribosomal RNA
Source: RNAcentral